This 433-nucleotide ribosomal RNA is filed under the name uncultured bacterium. RNAcentral's name for it is "partial 16S ribosomal RNA". It matches the Rfam family "Bacterial small subunit ribosomal RNA", at positions 29 to 507 of the family's 1533-position model. The record is from RNAcentral.
AACGAACGCUGGCGGCAUGCCUAACACAUGCAAGUCGAACGAGACCUUCGGGUCUAGUGGCGCACGGGUGCGUAACGCGUGGGAACCUGCCCUUAGGUUCGGAAUAACUCCCCGAAAGGGGUGCUAAUACCGGAUAAUGUCUUCGGACCAAAGAUUUAUCGCCUUUGGAUGGGCCCGCGUUGGAUUAGCUAGUUGGUAGGGUAAAAGCCUACCAAGGCGACGAUCCAUAGCUGGUCUGAGAGGAUGAUCAGCCACACUGGGACUGAGACACGGCCCAGACGCCUACGGGAGGCAGCAGUGCGGAAUAUGGGACGAGGGGCGUAGGUCUGAUCGAGCAAUGCAGCGGGAGUGAUAAAGGCAUUAGGGUUGGAAAGCUCUCUUGACCGGGGCGAUCAUGAAGGUGCAGGGAGAAUAAGAACCGGCUAACUCCGUG